GCACCGGUGGUGGAAUUGGUAGACACGCCAUCUUGAGGGGGUGGUGUCCGUAGGACGUGCGAGUUCGAGUCUCGCCUGGUGCACCA
Molecule: transfer RNA, 86 nt
Filed under: Francisella orientalis
Lineage: Bacteria; Pseudomonadati; Pseudomonadota; Gammaproteobacteria; Thiotrichales; Francisellaceae
Also listed under: 4 other names
Description: Francisella noatunensis subsp. orientalis tRNA-Leu
Rfam family: tRNA
About the family: Transfer RNA (tRNA) molecules are approximately 80 nucleotides in length. Their secondary structure includes four short double-helical elements and three loops (D, anti-codon, and T loops).
Source: RNAcentral